RNAcentral lists this ribosomal RNA (253 nucleotides) under uncultured bacterium. RNAcentral describes it as "partial 16S ribosomal RNA". It matches the Rfam family "Bacterial small subunit ribosomal RNA", at positions 524 to 776 of the family's 1533-position model. The record is from RNAcentral.
UACGUAGGGUGCUAGCGUUGUCCGGAAUCAUUGGGCGUAAAGCGCGCGUAGGCGGCCCAGUAAGUCCGUUGUAAAAGUCAAAGGCUCAACCUUUGAAAGCCGAUGGAUACUGCUGGGCUAGAGUCCGGAAGAGGCGAGUGGAAUUCCUGGUGUAGCGGUGGAAUGCGCAGAUAUCAGGAGGAACACCGAUAGCGAAGGCAGCUCGCUGGGACGGUACUGACGCUGAGGCGCGAAAGCGUGGGGAGCGAACAGG